AGAGUUUGAUCAUGGCUCAGGACGAACGCUGGCGGCGUGCUUAACACAUGCAAGUCGAACGAACUCGGACUUCGGUCCACAUGAGUGAGUGGCGAACGGGUGAGUAACACGUGAGAAACCUGCCCCAAAGUUUGGAAUAACUCAGGGAAACUUGAGCUAAUACCAGAUGCCCUCUUCCGAUCGCAUGGUCGGAUGAGGAAAGAUUUAUCGCUUUGGGAGGGUCUCGCGGCCUAUCAGCUAGUUGGUGAGGUAAUGGCUCACCAAGGCAUCGACGGGUAGCUGGUUUGAGAGAACGAUCAGCCACACUGGAACUGAGACACGGUCCAGACUCCUACGGGAGGCAGCAGUGGGGAAUCUUGCACAAUGGGCGAAAGCCUGAUGCAGCGACGCCGCGUGGGGGAUGAAGGCCCUAGGGUCGUAAACCCCUUUCAGCAGGGACGAAAAUGACGGUACCUGCAGAAGAAGCCCCGGCCAACUACGUGCCAGCAGCCGCGGUAAGACGUAGGGGGCGAGCGUUGUCCGGAUUUAUUGGGCGUAAAGGGCUCGUAGGCGGUUACGUAAGUCGGAUGUGAAAACUCCAGGCUCAACUUGGAGACGCCAUCCGAUACUGCGUUGACUUGAGUCCGGUAGAGGAGUGUGGAAUUCCUAGUGUAGCGGUGAAAUGCGCAGAUAUUAGGAGGAACACCUAUUGCGAAGGCAGCACUCUGGGCCGGUACUGACGCUGAGGAGCGAAAGCAUGGGUA
This 743-nucleotide ribosomal RNA is filed under the name uncultured bacterium. Its description in RNAcentral is "bacterial SSU rRNA". It matches the Rfam family "Bacterial small subunit ribosomal RNA", at positions 8 to 767 of the family's 1533-position model. The record is from RNAcentral.